GAUGAACGCUGGCGGCGUGCCUAAUACAUGCAAGUCGAGCGAACGGACGAGAAGCUUGCUUCUCUGAUGUUAGCGGCGGACGGGUGAGUAACACGUGGAUAACCUACCUAUAAGACUGGGAUAACUUCGGGAAACCGGAGCUAAUACCGGAUAAUAUUUUGAACCGCAUGGUUCAAAAGUGAAAGACGGUCUUGCUGUCACUUAUAGAUGGAUCCGCGCUGCAUUAGCUAGUUGGUAAGGUAACGGCUUACCAAGGCAACGAUGCGUAGCCGACCUGAGAGGGUGAUCGGCCACACUGGAACGGAAACACGGUCCAGACGCCUACGGGAGGCAGCAGUAGGGAAUCUUCCGCAGUGGGCGAAAGCAUGACGGAGCAACGCCGAGUGAGUGAUGAAGGUCUUCGGAUCGUAAAACUCUGUUAUUAGGGAAGAACAUAUGUGUAAGUAACUGUGCACAUCUUGACGGUACCUAAUCAGAAAGCCACGGCUAACUACGUG
Molecule: ribosomal RNA, 497 nt
Filed under: uncultured bacterium
Lineage: Bacteria
Description: partial 16S ribosomal RNA
Rfam family: Bacterial small subunit ribosomal RNA
Source: RNAcentral